This is a long non-coding RNA of Telopea speciosissima, 346 nucleotides long. RefSeq lists it as uncharacterized. Lineage: Eukaryota; Viridiplantae; Streptophyta; Magnoliopsida; Proteales; Proteaceae. The transcript has 2 exons. The record is from RefSeq and is a predicted model, not a curated record.
GCCCAGAGGGUUUGUGUAAAGCUGCAAUGUUUGCUCUACUUGUCAAAGAGGAGCUAGAAUUUUUGCCAGAACAGAGCACCGGCCAAAGGAAAUGGCUAGUCAUUCCAGAAGCAGUUGGGAGUUGCAGGCAUGCAUGGAUGCAAGAGGCCCUUGAAGAAGGCUUCUCCAAGUGGUAUGCUGAGAAGGAAGUAACAGAAAACAAUACCCAUGAGGAUGCUGUUCCAAUUUGUUUAUUCUUUUGGCAUUGCUUGUUUAUACCCAUGUUCCUGCGGGCUGUGACUACCUCAUGCUAACGACACCUUUAAAAUAUUUAUAUUUAGCAAAAAAAAAAUAUUUUUGGAUAUCA